GACGAACGCUGGCGGCGUGCCUAAUACAUGCAAGUAGAACGCUGAAGACUUUAGCUUGCUAAAGUUGGAAGAGUUGCGAACGGGUGAGUAACGCGUAGGUAACCUGCCUACUAGCGGGGGAUAACUAUUGGAAACGAUAGCUAAUACCGCAUAACAGCAUUUAACCCAUGUUAGAUGCUUGAAAGGAGCAAUUGCUUCACUAGUAGAUGGACCUGCGUUGUAUUAGCUAGUUGGUGAGGUAACGGCUCACCAAGGCGACGAUACAUAGCCGACCUGAGAGGGUGAUCGGCCACACUGGGACUGAGACACGGCCCAGACUCCUACGGGAGGCAGCAGUAGGGAAUCUUCGGCAAUGGGGGCAACCCUGACCGAGCAACGCCGCGUGAGUGACAGAAGGUUUUCGGAUCGUAAAGCUCUGU
Molecule: ribosomal RNA, 419 nt
Filed under: uncultured Streptococcus sp.
Lineage: Bacteria; Bacillati; Bacillota; Bacilli; Lactobacillales; Streptococcaceae
Description: bacterial SSU rRNA
Rfam family: Bacterial small subunit ribosomal RNA
Source: RNAcentral